Molecule: unclassified non-coding RNA, 2167 nt
Filed under: Octopus sinensis (East Asian common octopus)
Lineage: Eukaryota; Metazoa; Mollusca; Cephalopoda; Octopoda; Octopodidae
Description: uncharacterized LOC115213826, transcript variant X2
Source: RNAcentral
GUCUCAAAAUAUCACCCUAGGUCUAUAUACGAAUUUGGGCCUACCACAUACUUUAAUGCACAAAAAACUUCUUUUCCUGAAUAUACACUGCUGGAACUAGGGUACGUCUAAUAUUCCCGUGCGUCUUUUAUGCUAUCAAAUACAGUAUUGAUGGAAUAGCAAUUAAAUUCUUCGGGUGGUUCUUCGGCGAGAUCAUACGUUUCGUCUCGCCGAGUUAAAAUUUACAAACAACCUAAGUUGUAUAUCCACGUGACCUAUGAUGGCGGCGAAUUUAAGUCGGUGAAAAUCGACAACAAUUUCUUUCAUUUCUUUGAAGCUGACAACAACGGAGUUGUUCGGAGGAGGAGGAUGGCAGCAGAAUGUAGUGCUGUAAAGAAACUUCCCAGUGCUUGGUGGGGACUUUUUGUUACUUUUCAAAAUGAAAGAAAGCCACAUGUUGCAGCUGAAGUCUGGUGGCGAAACAAUUCGAUGUCGAAAUUCGCAGAAAGACCGGAAUUGGAAACUUUGUUGAAGUCUUUCGUUUCUCUCGAACCUCGACUGAUCGAGGAGAAUUUAAUCUUUUGCCCCACCUUCUUUCUUCUGACGGAAUAUUUCCAAAAAUGUUUGCUAUCAUUUUUGACUCAACAUUUGGCUGAACUUCCAGAACAGUCUACACAAGAAUUCCUGGCUACCAUUCAACAAAACAUCCAAUAUGUCCCCAACAAUAGGAUCCAGUCUCUUUUUAACCAUUUUCAGUAUAAUUGUAGAUUAACUUGGAACCAAACUUUUCUUCCAAAUAACCAUUUUCCCCAUGUCAUCUCCAAGCAAAACCAAGAGAUACUAAAUGACAUAUUGAAGUCACCAGCAUCAACUCACCAAUACAAUCCUUUCUUACCUUCAUUUGUUAGAGAGGGACCACAGCAAAUUCCUGAUGGAAACAUUACAAGCACAGAUGAUGUGACCUCUCCAAACCAACAGCAUUCUCUUCAAGAGCAAUGCAUUAACAUAAUAGUGCCAGAAAGUCCAGUCAUUGUUAUUCAUUCUGACAGUUGCAGUGAAGAAUCUAUGGAAGUGGCAAAAGAAGGAGCAAUCGAACCCGAAUCCAGUAAAUCUACAAAUAUUCCAGUUGAAGAAUCCAGCAAACCCCCAUCACCAAUGGAAGUUCCCAAACCCCCAUCACCAGUGGAAGUGCCUUCUCAUGAAUUACCACCAGACAUAGAAAUGAAGGCCAACCAGUUGAAGUAUGUCUGGCAACAAGGAGACAAACCCCAGAACGUGUUACCACCCGAAUUGACCCUUUUUGUUGAAUGUUCAGACCAACAGGUUCACCAAAUCUGCCACAUGUUAGAUGUUGAGUCCCUGUCAGAAUCCUCCUUUGCCAUGAUAUGCAAACAUUUUGCUGAGGUCGGCAAUCAAAUCAGUUAUGCCAACAGCCUGGUCUUGGCCAAAGAUUGUAUUCUUCCCAGGUUUGUGGUGCAGUCCAAGCAAAAUUCUAGGCUCUUAGUCUCUGCAGUUGUGACCUUUAGUCAACAAUUCCCAAAGCCAUUUGUGGAUGGAGUCUUAAUUCCCUGUGCAAAGAACAAAAAAAUUGAUUUACCUCAAGCCAAGCUGUUAACUAUUGUCAAUAAGGAUGCUUUCACUUCUAACACCAGACUCUACCUCCUUGACUGGAAUUGUCAUCUGACCAACUUUCCCAAUUACUGCAAUGGCUAAAGAAGACAUCCACUUUUGAACAGCAUUCCAAUAGCAAAUAUGGCAGAUUUUUGCUCACAUUUGUAAAUAAACAUAAAAAACAGUUGAAAAAAGAACAUAUUUCUUGCCUUUACCAAAUUGUUGAACACCAUGAGACUUUCUUAAAGAAUACGAUAAUCAGUGCCCUCAAGACUUUAGCAUAACAAUUGGAUGUCAUUGGGGGACAAAGCUUAUUCGUGCGACCUGCUUUUCUGCACAUUUGAAUUGGCAACCUGAAGUCAAAGCUUCUGUAAAUCAUGUGGCAAAUAUUUUAUUUCUAUUCAAGUACACAAAUAAAAGAACAAAGCACAAUGAACAUAGACAAGUGGGUGAUGAAAUACGCAAGACACGGUUUUGGGAAGAAAUUGCAAUCCGUCAGUUUAAAAAUAUAGCCUGGCAAUUUGAAUGUUUAUUCCAGUAUUGUGUGUGGAGGGGGGGGAGGGAAGGUAGAAUGGAU